Molecule: non-coding RNA, 296 nt
Organism: Carica papaya (papaya)
Lineage: Eukaryota; Viridiplantae; Streptophyta; Magnoliopsida; Brassicales; Caricaceae
Source: RefSeq, a predicted model, not a curated record
CCUUCUAAUCUUUUUCAAGCACCUGUGGAGAACAACUCAACAGUAUGGGGACUAGAACUGUUCCUGACUACCUUGAGCACAGAACUCUGCAGAAAUUCUUUUGGUUGGAUAUAGUGGAUCUGGGACAAGCACUAUAUUUAAGCAGGCAAAGAUCCUCUAUAAGGAUAUACCUUUCUCAGAGGAUGAGCGUGAAAAUAUCAAGUUGAAAAUCCAGACCAAUGUGUAUGGCUAUCUUGGUAUACUCCUUGAGGGCCGUGAACGUUUUGAAGAAGAAUUUCUGAAUGACAUUGGGAAAA